UGUGUGUGUGUGUGUGUGUGUGUGUGUGUGUGUGUGUUGCACCACAGCAGUUAUCUGCUAUCUAACUAGCUCACUGCUGCGGGGUUUCUUUUCUGCACUCUGCUGAGCUCCCAGACAGCAAGAGGUUGUGAAAAGGCUGGCAAGGAGGCGGCAGCAAUCAUAUAAGAAGGAAGCCACUCCUAUUGGAUCCAGAUGUGAGCGGAAGGACAGACAACAGCUCGACUGAAAGCCACCGGACAUGAUGUGGCAGACAAUAGAGGCCGUGGACAGCUGUUAAUCUAGUAACAUCUGGCUCCGUCAACCCACAUUUUUCUCUCCCAUAGUGAAUGGAUACGGACUAUUCUCAGAAAUGACAUGGUGAUCCCUUGAUCCACUCUUGCAUCAGAUAUGUCUGGCAUGAGAUAGCUGAAGCUAGCACAGACGUGUGCACACACACACACACACACAAGCAUCAUUUGCGGUUAUGGGGCAUGGGACAUGAGGUCUGAACAGGAGCCAUUGUAGACUG
Molecule: long non-coding RNA, 508 nt
Organism: Oreochromis aureus
Lineage: Eukaryota; Metazoa; Chordata; Actinopteri; Cichliformes; Cichlidae
Exons: 3
Source: RefSeq, a predicted model, not a curated record